CAGAGCAACUUCCACCUGACCAAAGAUGCAAGGGGGAGAGGGUGCUGAAGGGGAGGCAGACAGACCUACAAGUCAUCGUGAGGACUUUGAAAUAUAUAUGAAAAUGGCACAAAGAAAGUCAGCUUAUGGCAGCUACUGAGAAACUAACAGAUGAACAGUGACCCUCCAUCCACGUUUCAAGGCACAGUAUUAAGGCACUUUUCUAGGGUGUGUACAAGCAUACCUGGUCUCUGCUUUCAAGGAGCUGACCUGUUUUUCAGAGAUACUAGGAUGCAAAGACACACCGGGACUUCAACAUUUUAACACCUCUGAGAUAAAAUGCCUCCUGCAAUCAGUGAGUUUAACAGGUAUCAUUUUUCUGUUUCCCAAUAGUACACAAAAUAUUGGUGCUCUUUACAA
Long non-coding RNA from Talpa occidentalis (Iberian mole), 399 nucleotides. RefSeq lists it as uncharacterized. NCBI's taxonomy places the organism in Eukaryota, Metazoa, Chordata, Mammalia, Eulipotyphla, Talpidae. The record is from RefSeq and is a predicted model, not a curated record. The transcript is spliced from 3 exons.